This 98-nucleotide transfer RNA is filed under the name Lentinula aff. boryana. RNAcentral describes it as "tRNA-Ser". RNAcentral also lists the same sequence under 1 other name. The record is from RNAcentral. Lineage: Eukaryota; Fungi; Basidiomycota; Agaricomycetes; Agaricales; Omphalotaceae.
GUCACUUUGCCGGAGUGGUUAACGGGAUCGCCUGCUACAAGUUGUAGAGUCCAAGCGGUUGGGCUUUGCCCGCGUGUGUUCGAAUCGCACAGGUGACG